This 482-nucleotide ribosomal RNA is filed under the name uncultured bacterium. RNAcentral's name for it is "bacterial SSU rRNA". It matches the Rfam family "Bacterial small subunit ribosomal RNA", at positions 28 to 507 of the family's 1533-position model. The record is from RNAcentral.
GAUGAACGCUAGCUACAGGCUUAACACAUGCAAGUCGCGGGGUAACAUCUGGUAGAGCUUGCUCUUCCAGGAUGACGACCGGCGCACGGGUGAGUAACGCGUAUCCAACCUGGCCCAUACCACGGGAUAGCCCGUCGAAAGGCGGAUUAAUACCGUAUGCUGGCAUCAAAAUGCGACGAAAGGCUUAGCGGAUAUGGAUGGGGAUGCGUCCGAUUAGCUUGACGGCGGGGUAACGGCCCACCGUGGCGACGAUCGGUAGGGGUUCUGAGAGGAAGGUCCCCCACAUUGGAACUGAGACACGGUCCAAACUCCUACGGGAGGCAGCAGUGAGGAAUAUUGGUCAAUGGGCGCAGGCCUGAACCAGCCAAGUCGCGUGAGGGAAGACGGUCCUACGGAUUGUAAACCUCUUUUGUCGGGGAGUAACGUGCGGGACGCGUCCCGUAUUGAGAGUACCCGAAGAAAAAGCAUCGGCUAACUCCGUG